GAACGCUGGCAGCAGGCCUAACACAUGCAAGUCGAACGGUAACAGGAAGCAGCUUGCUGCUUGCUGACGAGUGGCGGACGGGUGAGUAAUGUCUGGGAAACUGCCCGAUGGAGGGGGAUAACUACUGGAAACGGUAGCUAAUACCGCAUAAUGUCGCAAGACCAAAGAGGGGGACCUUCGGGCCUCUUGCCAUCGGAUGUGCCCAGAUGGGAUUAGCUUGUUGGUGAGGUAACGGCUCACCAAGGCGACGAUCCCUAGCUGGUCUGAGAGGAUGACCAGCCACACUGGAACUGAGACACGGUCCAGACUCCUACGGGAGGCAGCAGUGGGGAAUAUUGCACAAUGGGCGCAAGCCUGAUGCAGCCAAUGCCGCGUGUAUGAAGAAGGCCUUCGGGUUGUAAAGUACUUUCAGCGGGGAGGAAGGGGUUAAGGUUAAUAACCUUAGCCAUUGACGUUACCCGCAGAAGAAGCACCGGCUAACUCCGUGCCAGCCGCCGC
This 498-nucleotide ribosomal RNA is filed under the name uncultured bacterium. RNAcentral's name for it is "bacterial SSU rRNA". It matches the Rfam family "Bacterial small subunit ribosomal RNA", at positions 31 to 518 of the family's 1533-position model. The record is from RNAcentral.